RNAcentral lists this ribosomal RNA (253 nucleotides) under uncultured bacterium. RNAcentral's name for it is "partial 16S ribosomal RNA". It matches the Rfam family "Bacterial small subunit ribosomal RNA", at positions 524 to 776 of the family's 1533-position model. The record is from RNAcentral.
UACGAAGGGGGCUAGCGUUGUUCGGAUUUACUGGGCGUAAAGCGCACGUAGGCGGAUUCUUAAGUCAGAGGUGAAAUCCCAAGGCUCAACCUUGGAACUGCCUUUGAUACUGGGGAUCUUGAGUUCGGAAGAGGUGAGUGGAACUGCGAGUGUAGAGGUGAAAUUCGUAGAUAUUCGCAAGAACACCAGUGGCGAAGGCGGCUCACUGGUCCGGUACUGGCGCUGAGGUGCGAAAGCGUGGGGAGCGAACAGG